RNAcentral lists this unclassified non-coding RNA (358 nucleotides) under soil metagenome. RNAcentral describes it as "partial contains 5.8S ribosomal RNA, internal transcribed spacer 2, and large subunit ribosomal RNA". The stretch from base 1 to 120 matches the Rfam family "5.8S ribosomal RNA", at positions 35 to 154 of the family's 154-position model. The record is from RNAcentral.
GAUGAAGAACGUAGCGAAAUGCGAUAAGUAAUGUGAAUUGCAGAAUUCAGUGAAUCAUCGAAUCUUUGAACGCACAUUGCGCCCGUCAGUAUUCUGGCGGGCAUGCCUGUUCGAGCGUCAUUACGCCCCCCAAGUCCCCUGUGGACUUGGUGUUGGGGAUCGGCGAGGCUGGUUUUCCAGCACAGCCGUCCCUUAAAUUAAUUGGCGGUCUCGCCGUGGCCCUCCUCUGCGCAGUAGUAAAACACUCGCAACAGGAGCCCGGCGCGGUCCACUGCCGUAAAACCCCCCAACUUUUUAUAGUUGACCUCGAAUCAGGUAGGACUACCCGCUGAACUUAAGCAUAUCAAUAAGCGGAGGA